This 405-nucleotide ribosomal RNA is filed under the name uncultured bacterium. RNAcentral describes it as "bacterial SSU rRNA". It matches the Rfam family "Bacterial small subunit ribosomal RNA", at positions 355 to 776 of the family's 1533-position model. The record is from RNAcentral.
UCGAGAAUUUUGGGCAAUGGACGAAAGUCUGACCCAGCAAUGCCGCGUGCGGGAUGAAGGUCUUCGGAUUGUAAACCGCUGUCGAGGGGGACGAAAUAUGACGGUACCCCUGGAGGAAGCCACGGCUAACUACGUGCCAGCAGCCGCGGUAAUACGUAGGUGGCGAGCGUUGUUCGGAUUUAUUGGGCGUAAAGGGUCCGCAGGGGGUUGACUAAGUCUGACGUGAAAUCCCUGAGCUUAACUCAGGAACUGCGUUGGAGACUGGUCGACUAGAGUAUUGGAAAGGUAAUUGGAAUUCCAGGUGUAGCGGUGGAAUGCGUAGAUAUCUGGAAGAACAUCGAAAGCGAAGGCAGAUUACUGGACAAUCACUGACCCUCAGGGACGAAAGCAUGGGGAGCAAACAGG